Long non-coding RNA from Myxocyprinus asiaticus (Chinese sucker), 1317 nucleotides. RefSeq lists it as uncharacterized. The transcript has 3 exons. The record is from RefSeq and is a predicted model, not a curated record. Lineage: Eukaryota; Metazoa; Chordata; Actinopteri; Cypriniformes; Catostomidae.
CGCGUGUCAUGGGGCAACCGAUAGUUCUAAACACUAUAUAGUUCCAGCACCGAACCACAUUCAUUUCAGCUGACAUGUGAACCCAUGGGAGACUGACUUUGAUGACCUAGCAAGCCAGUUAUCUACAAAUGAUCCAGAAAUCAAUAAGUUCUCUCCAACAGCAACAGGCUCGACCCGACUCAAGACCCAGUCUCCUCUGGAUCCUAUGACAUGGUCUGCUUCCAGUGGUGGAAUGUAGCCAAGUACAUUUACUCAAGUACUGUACUUAAGUACAGAUUUGAGGUACUUGUGCUUUACUUGAGUAUUUCCAUUUAAUGCAACUUUAUACUUUUACUCCACUACAUCUCAGAGGCAAAUUUGAACUCUUUAGUCUGACAGCUUUAGUUACUACAGUAGUUACUUUUCAGUUUACAAUUUGUCAUACCCUUCCUGUCCAGUGAAAACCAUGUACUGUAUCUCCAAAUGAGGUGAUUUUGAAUGUUUGUGAUAAACUGAAAGAUUAAAUGUUCCUUUAUGGGUUGAAAAAUGCUCUUACUUCUUAAGCUAAAUAAACUAUUUAAAACCCCCCUUGGAUUAGCUAGAAAAUGCAUUGUCACAAAGAUGAAAACAGGGCUGUUUUUCUGAGAUCAUGAAAAGGUGUUAAAUUAGCUCAACCUUAAACAUCUACAGCAAUAAAAUGCAACAUAUGCAUUAAUGCAGCAGUAAUAUUAAUCCAAAAACAUCAUAUACAGUAUAAUAGUAAAACACUGACAGGGAAAAUUUUUCUGCUGAGUAAGUACUUUUACUUUUGCUACUUUAAGUAAAUUUUGCUGAUAAUACUUACAUACUUUUACUUAAGUAAGGUUUUGAAUGCAGGACUUUUACUUGUAGUGGAGUAUUUUCACAGUGUGGUAUUAGUACUUUAGUAUUAAGUAAAAGAUCUUCCACAGCUAUCUGCUUCUGGCAGUGGAAUGCCCUCACCCAAAAAUAAAAGUAACUGUUGCAUUACUUGUGGCGUGGAGUUUGAAUGUUUUUGCUAUCACUGUAUGGAUAAGAGUUUGACUCUGUGGUUCUUAUGUGUGUCUGGAGAUGUUUUGAGCAGUCAUCGUCCAGUGAAGUUUAUUGAGCACUCAUGGCCAGAUCUCCUUUUUUCCCUGCUGCUGCAGUGAAAGAAAGAAUGCAAUGGCUAUUUUGAACACUUUUAUGCCUUUCCUGGCCUGCUUUCUGCCAUCAUUCUCUCCUUGUAGGAGGUCGAAUGAGAUUCUUUGAAGACUGCCCAUUCAAGGAAAAACUUAUGUACCAUCUCCCUCGAUAUAUUAUACAAUAAAAUGUUUUGUU